Molecule: long non-coding RNA, 4377 nt
Filed under: Lactuca sativa (garden lettuce)
Lineage: Eukaryota; Viridiplantae; Streptophyta; Magnoliopsida; Asterales; Asteraceae
Description: long non-coding RNA (LSAT_LNC000970)
Source: RNAcentral
GGUGAUGUGGCACAAUCUUGGCGAUUAUUUUCUCCCCAAGUCUUGACACUAGAUGGUGACAUGUAGCACCAAGUUCAGCCAUUUUCACCCUAUAAAUAGAACCUCUCCCACCCUCAUUUUCUUCACACCUUUCCCAUUCUUUCUUCUUUUUACUCUCUCUCUAGAACCUCUCACUAGCCCCGAAACCCCCGAAAAGCCUAGGGAACCUCCCUAGCAUGAGGCGGAAGCCCCGGAGUGCUCGACGGCUCCGAGAGGAAGAGCUUUUCGGCUCGGGAGCGCUGCUCCAAGCAAAUCCCGGUUUUCUAUAAAACCCGCUGUAAGUGAGCUACGCUGAUAUGAGUAUAUUUAGUUAUAAAAUUCAUCCAUUAUCUUAAUACUUUAUGUUAAUUUUAUCUCAAAUAAUGAACCAAAGGUGAUUAAUUAGCUUAAAUAUUUCACUUUUAGUAACAAAGACAUGCUCGGAUGGAAAAGGAAGCGGAAUUGGCGAUUGGACGCUUGGAUCUUGGAUUUUGAAGAAAGAAGGAUGUUGCUGGACAGCUUGACCCCACGUCAGUGUUUUGGCCAUAUCUCACGAACCGUAACUCCGAUUGACGAGAUUCAAAAUGUUAUGAAAAGUAGACACAAUUUCGGACGACUUUUGUGUUUUGAGAAAAUGCUGAUUCGAAACGUACUCGGCGAGUAGGGUCGAUUACUCGGCGAGUUGUAUCGAACUCUCGCGAUUCUGGACGCGCUGACUUGCCGUACACGGGUUUUAAGUGACGGACUCGCCGAGUAGGUCACUGGACUCACCGAGUAGCCUCUGCUUUGUGAAAAUCUAUAUAAAGGGACUUUCAGAUCGAUACCCUGGCAUGGAGAGAAACCCUAGGAGGCUGAGAAACGAUUGGAAGUGCUGCUAGGUCGUGAGGAACUGAAGAAUCAACCCUACAUUCAAUUGUGAAGAGAAUCAAGACAAUUUUGGUUUAUUCUUAGUAACUUUUUGAUUUGAAUCAUGUUUACAUACUUUGAUUUCGUUUUUGAGUUUAUGUUUACUGCAAUCAUGAGCUAAAAACUUAUUCUUCUGUUAGGGUAGACAAUUUUGUGAACAUGGAUUGAUUAUUUGAGUAGGAUUAAUUUUAAUUGGUAAUUAUGUUUUGUUAAGCUUGUUAAAGAACCUUAUGUGUUGACAAUAACUAUUCUUCUGUUAAUAAAUUAGUAAUUAAGUUGUAUGAACAUCUCUUAGUUAUUAAUUUCAUAUGAUUUAUUGUGACCACAUAGUUGUAUGUCUAGGAAUAACGAAUGUGAAACUAGAAUUAACUAGAAGAUAGGUAAGUUAAUGUGUGAGCUUGUUUGAUGAACAUCAGCAAUAGGUUAAUUGAAGGGUCAAUUUAAUUAACCAUUACAAGUCUUACUUAACCCGAAUCAAUAAUCUAGGAAACCCGUUAAUUUAGACAACUGGCCAUUGCUUGAGUUAAUUUGUUUUCUAAGAAUUAGGAAUAGCGAACGUGAACCUAAUUAUCUUAAUCGGUAGCCAAUGAAGAAUUAAUCUGAUACAUUAAAAUCAUCCAUGGGAACAAAUGAGUCGUACCUAAACAGAAGUCCUCUUUACUAUUGAAUUUAGUUGGUAAUUAAUUGUUUUAGUUGCUAGUUAGUUAAUUUGUGUGUUGGUUAUUCUAAUUAAGUUUCUAGUCUUGUAAAACUAGAGAAAACCCCCUUUUUGUUAUUUGUUUUAUUUAGAUAAUAUUAGCAUUUAUUUUAAUUGUUUACCGUUCCCUGUGUUCGAUACCCUACUUGCUUGAACUAUAUUACUAAUCGAUAGGUACACUGCCUUUCGUGUGUUUAUUUUGUGUCUAAGUUAGUAGGAUUAAAACUAGUUGGUUUUACACACAUCAAGUUUUUGGCGCCGUUGCCGGGGAACGGUUCAAAUAGUUAAUUUUAUUUGCUAAUUGUUAUCGGUUUUAUUUUAUUGAUUAUUUUUUUAUUUAGUUUAAUUUUUAUCUUUAUUUUUUAUUAUGUAUUUUCCAAAUCUCGAUGCUUUUGAUGCUUUUCUUGAGGAAGUAGUGCAGGAAGAUGAGGAUUAUGACUCGGAUGAAGAUUUGAAGAAAUUUGAUAGAUGGUUAGAUAUCAUCUUGUCUAACGAUCAAGAACAAUCUGAGUCACAAGAGCUAGAUUUACAAGAUGAUGAAUUUAAUCCAGAAAGAGACUUGGAGGAGCUGCAAAGGUUGCUAGCAGAGAGGUCAGACGAAGAACAAGAACAAGCUGAAUUGCAGGAACCAAGUUGUGGUUUGACCAUUACCACGACAUGGUCCCAUGUUCUUCCGGUUUGUGUUUCGAAGCAUGGGGUGACGAUUCCAACUUUGGAGAAAGUUCUGAAGCGCGAUCCAUUUCUGAUUAGUACCCGACCGGUCCCAACCCUUGUCAGAAUUCUUGGGUUUUAUGUAUUAAAGCUCGUUUGGCCAAUUUUAGAAGCAAAGAGUCAAAUUUUACAAAUUGGUCCACCAAAGAAAAUAUUUAAUGCAACGGAUGGAUUGGCAAUGAGUUUAUUGGAAGUUUAUUAAGUUGGGAGUCCAGCUCAAGACUCGCACAAAAAGAAGCGCUUGCGGGAGGCAACCCGUCAUUAGAGUUUUCUUUUCUUUUUCUUUCUAAACUUCUAGUGUUUAAGGAUAAUUUAGGAUUUUUUUUAUUUUAAUGUUUUUUUUUUUUCUUGGUUUUCGUUUUUGAUCUUUUCAGUUUGAGUGUAAGGAUGCAUGUGAGGGUCUAGAGUCAAGGCUGACGAAGCGAGAAAUCGAGUCUAGGCGAGAGAGGAAACGAAGUUUUGAGUCAAGCUAUGAGUCCAAUUGAUAGAAGGGUUAUAGAGUGUUUAUUCCCUGAAGAAAAAUGAGGGAAUAAUUAUUAGUUUAUAUAACCCCCAUACAUCAGAAACGGACUUGGGCAGAAUAAAAUUUUUGUCACACAGCGGUCUACUCGCCGAGUGCAUCUUAUGGACUUGCCGAGUCCAUGUGAAAAUCCACGAUUCUUCUGCCAUUUACGCUUCAACUCGGUGAGUCUACAUACUUACUCGACGAGUCACUCAUUCUUCUUACUUUUGAGCUGAAGAUUUGAUGACAUUCGAUAUGGGCAUUGGUUCUAUUCUUUGAAGAUCAUUUUCCGAGCAUUUCCAAGAGUUUUUCCCUUAUAUUUGGAGCUUUUAUAAAGAAUGUACCACACGAGAUUUUGAUACCCAAGACAUGGAUGGUUUGUUCCCAUGUCUAAAGUCAAUUGAAGAUGGAGCUGAAGAGAAAAGAUAUCAACCUCGCCACUACUAUCCCAGGGGAGUUUGUUCCAAAUCUCUCUUUAUUUUAUUGUUCUUUAUCAUGCAUAAUAUGCAAUGGGGACAUUGCAUAAAUUAAGUGUGAGGUAGCGGGUUGGUUAAAUUAGUUAAAUUUCGAAAAUCUUGAAAUUUUAGUUAAUUUUGAAAUUUUUGCAUUAAAAUUGCUAGGGCUAAUUUAGAAAAUUUUGGUAAAGCAAUUAGGGAUCAUGCUAGUAUUAUAUUAUGAUUUUACGAAGACCCAAAUGUUUAGUUAAGCCUAUAUACAUUCUAGUGUAUUUGUGGCUUCCUUAUUCUAGUGAAAUCAUGGGACAAAAACACGACCUCGCUCAGCCUGAGGGAUGCAAUAUGUUUAGCAUCGUGUACCAGAAAUGUAUCCAGGAAAAUUGUUAUCUUUAGCCAAUAAAGGUUGAAGUUGAGCGCCCCUGCUUAAGCAUGUAGGGAUUUGAGUGAAAAAAAGUGAGGAAAAAAAAAGAGAAAGAGAAAAGAGAGAGAAAUUACAAGAAAAGUUUGAAGAAUUUUUGGAGCAUCAAAGUCGAAUAUAAAAUUAGAAGAUCAAAAAUUCUGAAGAAAUUCAAAAGUUGAAGAUACCCAAAAAUUAAAGAUCAAAUGUCAAAGAAGUGAAGAAUUCCAAAUGAGCUCCAUAGUGGUAUCAUAAAUUGUAACUGUCUAGAUUAUGUAUGCUUGGGUUGCUCAACCAAAAAUACCUUGAGGUUAGGAGGUUUUCUGAGGAUGGAUUCGGAGGGAUGCAUAAAAUGAGCAUUGUUCGGAAAAAGUGGGCGNUUUAUGAGGAUUGUAAGUAUUUAGAAUUGAGGGGGGUCCUUAGGAAAAAUUUUAGACACAAAUGCAUGCAUUGCGGUCUUGGCAUAAUGGCUGGGUUCGAUUGGGAUUGUCUUAUGUAAUAUUAGUGUACUAAAAUUCAGUUUUGCUUGGGGGCAAACAAAAGUCAAGUGUGGGGGAUUUUGAUAUGAGUAUAUUUAGUUAUAAAAUUCAUGCAUUAUCUUAAUACAUUAUGUUAAUUUUAUCUCAAAUAAUGAACCAAAGGUGCUUAAUUAGCUUAAAUAUUUCACUUUCAGUAACAAAGACAUGCUCGG